AUCCAAGUGCACGGGCGUUUUCCUUCUCCGUGAAGCGAUAAGCUGAGAGAGGAAUUUUGCUAGUUGAAAACUAUACACUGACCACUCCUGGCUGGGUUCGUCCCGGCCAGGGAAUUUUUGGAACACCCACGAAUUUCCUUUGGAU
Molecule: non-coding RNA, 145 nt
Organism: Trichoderma gamsii
Lineage: Eukaryota; Fungi; Ascomycota; Sordariomycetes; Hypocreales; Hypocreaceae
Source: Rfam